AGAAACAAGCAGAUGCUCCUGAAUUUAAUAAUACUAAGGUUCUCAAUUUCUGAGGGCCAAUAAACAAAGAGAUUGUAAAGCAAAGGGCAGGUUGAGCGAAAAGAAAGGAACUUAAUUGUUGUUGCAAUAUUUCACUGUCUAGCCACACGAUUCUUAUUGUGGCUGGGCAUCCUCGUUUUCCCGAACAAACAUGCCCCUGGUCCUGACAGUGCAUCGAUUUUGCUU
This 225-nucleotide long non-coding RNA is filed under the name Physcomitrium patens. Its description in RNAcentral is "long non-coding RNA (PPAT_LNC002268)". The record is from RNAcentral. Lineage: Eukaryota; Viridiplantae; Streptophyta; Bryopsida; Funariales; Funariaceae.